This 965-nucleotide ribosomal RNA is filed under the name Laboulbenia bruchii. RNAcentral's name for it is "partial large subunit ribosomal RNA". It matches the Rfam family "Eukaryotic large subunit ribosomal RNA", at positions 53 to 963 of the family's 3401-position model. Lineage: Eukaryota; Fungi; Ascomycota; Laboulbeniomycetes; Laboulbeniales; Laboulbeniaceae. The record is from RNAcentral.
GAGGAAAAGAAACCAACAGGGAUUGCCCCAGUAACGGCGAGUGAAGCGGCAACAGCUCAAAUUUGUAAUCCGGCGUGAGCCCGAGUUGUAAUUUGCAGGAGGAUGCUUCGACCCAGCUGCCUAGGCCCAAGUGCCCUGGAAAGGGACGCCGUGGAGGGUGAUAGCCCCGUCGCCGGCCGUCUGGCGUGGGAUCAAGGAAGCUCCCUCGACGAGUCGAGUUGUUUGGGAAUGCAGCUCCAAAGCGGGAGGUAAAUUCCUUCCAAAGCUAAAUACCGGCCAAGGACCGAUAGCGCACAAGUAGAGUGAUCGAAAGAUGAAAAGCACUUUGGAAAGAGAGUCAAAAAGUACGUGAAACUGUUGAGAGGGAAGCGUUUGCGGUCAGACGCGCGGGGGGAUGGGCUCACCCCAUCCUUCGCUGGUAGGGGCACACUCCCUCCCCCCGCGAGCCAGCAUCGGCUCGGACGGCGGCAGGAGCCGGUCGGGAAUGUUACUCCCCCGCGGAGUGUUAUAGCCCGGCCGGACCCUUCCGGCCGCCCGCCCGGGCCGAGGUGUCCUCACAGGCGCGUCCCCUGCCCCCUGGGCAAGGCGCCCCGAUGUUGGCGUAAUGGCCGUAAGCGGCCCGUCUUGAAACACGGACCAAGGAGUCCAACGUCCGCGCGAGUGUGUGGGUGUCAAGCCCGCGCGCGAAAUGAAGGUGAACGAAGGUGGGAAGCCGUCGACCCGGGCCCCCUGUCGCGGUGUGUCCGGGAGGCGGCCGCACCAUCGACCGAUCCUGAUGUCCUCGGAUGGAUUUGAGUGGGAGCGCGGCCGCUGGGACCCGAAAGAUGGUGAACUAUGCCUGCUUAGGCUGAAGUCAGGGGAAACCCUGAUGGAAGGUCGCAGCGGUUCUGACGUGCAAAUCGAUCGUCAAAAGUGGGUAUAGGGGCGAAAGACUAAUCGAACCAUCUAGUAGCUGGUUCACACGA